Molecule: ribosomal RNA, 581 nt
Filed under: uncultured fungus
Lineage: Eukaryota; Fungi
Description: eukaryotic LSU rRNA
Rfam family: 5.8S ribosomal RNA (bases 212-365)
Source: RNAcentral
CUUGGUCAUUUAGAGGAAGUAAAAGUCGUAACAAGGUUUCCGUAGGUGAACCUGCGGAAGGAUCAUUACCUAGAGUUUGUAGACUUCGGUCUGCUACCUCUUACCCAUGUCUUUUGAGUACCUUCGUUUCCUCGGCGGGUCCGCCCGCCGAUUGGACAACAUUCAAACCCUUUGCAGUUGCAAUCAGCGUCUGAAAAAACAUAAUAGUUACAACUUUCAACAACGGAUCUCUUGGUUCUGGCAUCGAUGAAGAACGCAGCGAAAUGCGAUAAGUAGUGUGAAUUGCAGAAUUCAGUGAAUCAUCGAAUCUUUGAACGCACAUUGCGCCCCUUGGUAUUCCAUGGGGCAUGCCUGUUCGAGCGUCAUUUGUACCUUCAAGCUCUGCUUGGUGUUGGGUGUUUUGUCUCGCCUCUGCGUGUAGACUCGCCUUAAAACAAUUGGCAGCCGGCGUAUUGAUUUCGGAGCGCAGUACAUCUCGCGCUUUGCACUCAUAACGGCGACGUCCAAAAGUACAUUUUUACACUCUUGACCUCGGAUCAGGUAGGGAUACCCGCUGAACUUAAGCAUAUCAAUAAGCGGAG